AAAGGCACGAUUACAGACGAACAAGUUGGCCAAUCAUUUCUACAACCAAUCAUUCUUUUGUGAAUAUUAAAAAUUUAGUGCAGCUGAGGUUUUUUUUUUGUUACUUUGGUUUAACCUUUAGAAAUGAACAGAAGCUUUAGUGUUUGCCAAAGAAAAUAAGGACAUGAGGGCGGGCCUCCUGCAUUUUUCUUUUCAACUCCGCUUUUUCUGUAGACACUACAUAACUUCAAGCAUGCGGACAAAGAAAUAAGGUAAAAGUUGAAUUGUUUUAUUCUGAAGUGGAGAAUACCAAUUUCACUUUUUGCCACAGGAGGGCGCUAAUACAUGUAUCACUUUUCGCUAGCUGUUGAUAAAUGCCCUCACGAAGAAGACGGUCUGCUUUUCCAUGGAAACCCGACGCUUAUUUGAGUCCAACCAGAAAUAUGUCGUGAUUUCCGGACCAGUUCGAGGUUUGAGUGAACUCGAACCCAAACCAAACGGUGUGGUCAGUCGAAGAAGGCUAAUUAGAGUGUAUCAACCUGUGUUGUUUUAGCAUUCUAAUGUCGCUUUAGCUAACUGUCUGCCCUGCGGGAGAUUUGAGAGGAAUGCGAAACGCCGAAAGAAGACGAGCGGUCUGACUGCAGGCAGCGCAUGAUGAUGCGGCGCAGAGGCGGCGGCAGCUCGGCUCUGGACCGGGCCGAGUCGCUGCUCUCGGCCAGGAGCAGCAGGACUCGGGGACGCGGCCAGGGAUUCUUCAAAACAACAUCCAACCCCCCAAAUAAACAGGUUUCCUUCUGUAAUCUGAGUGAUUUGUCUGCGGACAGCUCAGCUGAUGCCACUGGAGGAGAGAACUCAGAGCAGGACUCCAGGCCUCACAGUGGUUUUGGGGGGGGCAGCAGGUUUCUGAAAAAGGCUCCUCCACCAACAAGCAGCCGCCGCUCACCCGUCGACAGAAAGCAGAACCUGCUGGAACCCAGGUCUGUGCCGGCCUUCCAGCAGGAAUCGCAAACUCAAAUCUCAGCUGAGUCUCGGAGCAGCGAUCGAGCCCCAGAGACCACUGAUGGUGAGACAAGCGGACCCUCACAAGGGGCAGGUGCGCCCACACAGGUGAGCAUCUCUGCGGCGUCGGCCACCCAGCAGCAUUCAGCACAGUGGAGCUCAGGGGGAAGCCGCUUCCUGAAGAAGAAGACGGGCGCGGGUUCUACGCCUGCUGCAGCUCUGAGAUCAGGUGGAGGGGUCAGGUCUACACCUUUGCGGGAUUUAGAGAGUGUGGACAGUGAUGAAGAAUACAUGAAGAAACUGCUGGGGGAAUCGGUGGAUUGUUCAGACAGCAGUUUAGUGGAAGAGGGGGGGGCGCCCACCUCUGAAGGAGCCACAGAAGAUGCUCAGCAGUCAGAGGACUCACUCCAUCCCGUCGCCCCCCAGCUCGGCGCCACACCGCCAUUCUCCUUUCAGAUACUCGGGCCGGAGUCAGAACCACUUCAGCCCUUCUGUUUCAUCUCCAGCGACUCCCCUUCCAGGGAAGACCAGCGACUUUCCAAAGGCAGAGAGUCCACAGCGACUCUCCUCAUCCUCGUCGGAGUCUGUUCAAGUUCUCUCUCUGGAGGAGCUGCUCCCUGGGGGGUCAGUUUCUUCAGAAGCACAGAGUCAAAGGAGCAAGGUUUCUGA
Molecule: long non-coding RNA, 1647 nt
Filed under: Oryzias sinensis (Chinese medaka)
Lineage: Eukaryota; Metazoa; Chordata; Actinopteri; Beloniformes; Adrianichthyidae
Description: lncRNA (ENSOSIG00000005731.1)
Source: RNAcentral